RNAcentral lists this ribosomal RNA (253 nucleotides) under uncultured bacterium. RNAcentral's name for it is "partial 16S ribosomal RNA". It matches the Rfam family "Bacterial small subunit ribosomal RNA", at positions 524 to 776 of the family's 1533-position model. The record is from RNAcentral.
GACGGGGGAUGCAAGCGUUAUCCGGACUCACGGGGCGUAAAGCGUCUGUAGGUGGUGAUGCAAGUCACUGGUGCAAAACUCUGGCUCAACCGGAGGAAAGCCAGUGAAACUGCAUGACUAGAGUGUGGGAGAGGUAGAAGGAAUUCCCUGAGUAGCGGUGAAAUGCGUAGAUACAGGGAAGAACACCGGAGGCGAAAGCGUUCUACUGGAACACAACUGACACUGAGAGACGAAAGCUAGGGGAGAUAAGGGG